Long non-coding RNA from Neofelis nebulosa (Clouded leopard), 2356 nucleotides. RefSeq lists it as uncharacterized. The transcript is spliced from 3 exons. The record is from RefSeq and is a predicted model, not a curated record. Lineage: Eukaryota; Metazoa; Chordata; Mammalia; Carnivora; Felidae.
GUGCCUCGGCGGAGAGGCCCGGCGGGAACCAACAGCCGCCGCGGCGGGAGCUGGCUCCGGUGGCCGGAGGCGGGUCUUUCCUUUCCCGCAGAUCCCGCAAACGCUCCGCUCCCUGGAGCCGCUGCCUUCAGUGCGCUCAGACCCUGGAUGUUAAGGUUCACGAGGGCGCCAGCUGGCGCCGGGAGAAGUAGCGACGCCCCCACCUAUCAUCUUCCCAAGGCAGCGCCUGGGGGCCACCAAGACCGAGGCGCAGUUGGAGCGCGAGCGCGAGCCUGAGAAGCGCGGACGCAAGCUGCCAGCGCGGGGCCCGCCGGAGCCCGAGCGGCUUCCGGCCGAAAGGGAGACGCACUUGAGUGAUCGCGAGGAGCAAACUUGGCGCUCUCGGCCCCGGGCCUCGGAGAGGUGAGAGAUUCCGGCUGAGCUCCUCUCCUCCCUUCCAAGGCCGAGACCCCGCCACACAUCCUCUUGCGGCGCCACGGGACUCCAGGCGCGGGACUGUGUGCGGGAAGACCCAGGAGCGCGUCGCCCGCCUGUCGGGCUCUCCCCGAAGCUUCUCUGCGGCGCUCUGGCCGCAUUCCGGGAGCCCGGACCGAGCCAUCGCUCUGAGUUUGCCCGUACUCCGCCCUUUUUCGUCUUUGUAUCCGUUUGUCUUGGGCUCAGUGACUCUGUUGUCUCUCGCCUUCAGUGAAUCUCUGCCUCCGUUUCCAGUGGAAACCCUGCGUUUGUCCGGGUGUCUCUGGGGGUCGAGAAUCCCUCGUUCAAUUUCCCCCACCCCCAGUCGCACUGCAGGGCUGCCCCCCCCCCCUUUCUGGCCGGCCCCGGACCCUUAGGCUCUACGGACCAGCAGCAGGACCCCCACAGAGACCUUCCUCAAUGAACCCUGACCUCAGCCCUGGGCCAGCGUUGCCUCAUCUCUCAGGAUCCUGUGCACACAAGAGUAGAUCAAUUCUUGGCAGCUGGGACUGCCUACCAUAACCCCAUUCCAAGCCCCCCUACAACGGGGCAGCUACCAAGAGCUGCCAAGAAGAAUGGAGGAGGACGGGAGACCUGGGAGCGCUUCCAAGGAGAGGUGGUAACUGCGGCUAGUUUUCCUCUUCCACACUAAGCAACUGGGUUCCCCACUGGAGCAAGUGACUUCCAGCCACCAGAAGCAACUCCCAGCCGAAAACAGCAUCCAAAUGCAUCCUGGCUUCCUUCCCUGGAUUUCCUGCUCCAAUCAGACGUGCAAAAUUUCUCCCACAAUUUACCUCAACUGAAACAAAGAAAUAAACCAAGAAAAAAGACGAGGUGGAAUCCAGGAAGCAGAGAAUCCAGCACUGGACAGAAGUGGAGGGAAUUCCAAGGAAUCCCAAGGAUAACACUGAUGAGAAAUUUCAGGUCCACAUCUGUGCAGCAGACAUGGAGAGCAGUCAGCUCAUACUGGAUCUGGAAGACAGAGAACUCUAAGAUAAAUACUCCCAAGAAAGGAAGAAUACAACCACCAACAGCAAUGACAGACUUCCUGAUAAGUUUGACCUCAUGAAAAAGUACACCCCAAUGCUUUCGGAAAAUACAGGAAGAUUUAGCCAUAGGGACAAAGAAAGCUAGGCAAAUGAAAAAAUAAGGCAUUGACUCCAGGAAAAGUUAAAAGUUGCACCAAAAAAAAAAAAAUUGUAGUCAUGAUGCACUAGCAGCUUAUCUGAGAACAAUAUUCAUAUGGUAACAGAAUGUAAAUGCUAAAAGCUGAUGGUUUGGGCAGGGAUGGAAAGAAAUAAUGAUUUUAGAGGUAAAUGAUUAUUAUGAUAGGAAAUUAAUCAUACUGUUUCAAGAGAACAGAAAUGUGGAAGUAUAUUCCAAAAGAGACAAAUAGGAAUUGAAAGUAAAUGCUUCUAGGGAACAAAACAGGGAUCCUGACAGUAGGCAAGGCACUCUCAUAGGCCUUUGCUAUUUGACUUGUUAGAUUAUAUGCUUGUUUCAAUUUAAUAAAAACAAAAAUUAAGUGUCAAAAAUGUGUCUUCAGAUUAAAGAUAGGUUCGAGUUUUCUACAAGGAUGAAGGGGGGAGUAUUUGCUUAAGGUUCCUAAAGGCUCUAUUCAGAUUAUUUUCCCCUAAAAGGGGGAAGAGAGAAUCAUAUUGAAAUCUUACUUCUAGAUAAGUGGUUGGCACUUGUAAAGACAAGAGUUGAAUUAGGGCUUUUGUUUUUGUUUCUUCAACAUCUACCAAGGUGUCAAAAUUCUUAGGGCAUUCUAUGACAUGUAGCAUAUUCUGUGAGGGCAUAAACAGAUUCUGUAUUGGCCUCAGAGCCCAGCACAGGGCCCGGCACAUAGCAAGCCCGACACUGUUGAAUAAAGGAAAAUUAAAGAGGCAUUUAAAAAAUC